RNAcentral lists this non-coding RNA (82 nucleotides) under Nitrososphaera viennensis EN76. Its description in RNAcentral is "crcB". It matches the Rfam family "Fluoride riboswitch aptamer (crcB RNA motif)". Lineage: Archaea; Thermoproteati; Nitrososphaerota; Nitrososphaeria; Nitrososphaerales; Nitrososphaeraceae. The record is from RNAcentral.
AAUAAUACAGGCUAUGGCAUUAGCCCUGGCGCAGGCCAAAACUGCCCUUUUGAAGAGAGGCGCGGAUAAUGCCUACUACUAC